GACAGAGGCCUCAAGCGUUAGGCGGAAUCACUGGGCUUAAAGCGUGUGUAGGCGGAUCGUUAAGUGUCUUGUGAAAUCCCACAGCUCACCCGUGGAACUGCUGGGCAUACUGGCGAUCUUGGGCCAACUAGGGGCAACUGGAACAAGCGGUGGAGCGGUGAAAUGCGUAGAUAUCGCUUGGAACGCCGAAGGUGAAAACAGGCUGCUGGGGUUGCGCCGACGCUGAGACACGAAAGCCAGGGGAGCAAACGGG
Molecule: ribosomal RNA, 253 nt
Filed under: uncultured bacterium
Lineage: Bacteria
Description: partial 16S ribosomal RNA
Rfam family: Bacterial small subunit ribosomal RNA
Source: RNAcentral